UUUUUUUUUUGGUCUUUUUUUUUUUUUUUUUUUGUCUUUUUUGUUGUUGUUGUUGUUAUUUCUUGGGCCGCUUCCGCGGCAUAUGGAGGUUCCCAGGUGCAGUCCUAAAAAGCAAAAGAAAAAAAAAAAUCAGGGAUAUACAUGAUGAAAAUUAUGAUUAUUAGUUAAAUUAUGAUUAUUAGGACAUAAAAAGACUUGACUAAAUGUCUCUAGAAGAAAUGUUACAAACGUGUUAAUUUUGACCAAGUGAAUUUACAAGUCCAAUAUUAUUACAAUAUCCCCAAGUUUUUAGAUGAAGAGAAUUAAACAAAGUAAUUCUUAAGUUUAAGUUAAUACUGAAUUGGAGAACAGUAGUUAAGACAAUAUUGAGAAAGAAUAAACAAGAAGUUUUACUAUGAACAAGGAAAGAACAGACCAUGGGUCAGCAAACUACAGCCAGUAGGUCAAAUCUGGCUGCAGCCAGAUUUUGCAUUCACUGUCUAUGGUUGACUCCCUGAGUCAAUAGUUGCAACAAAGAUUGUGUGGCUCACCAACCUAAUAUAUUUGCUAUCAGGAAUUUUACAGAAAACAUCUGCCAACCUUUGCAACACAUACUUUAAUUAAUUGUGCUGUCAUGUCCAUAGAUUUUUCUCUAAGGGAGCUCAUGAAGGCCAAGAGAAGGCAAAUUUACAAGGUAAUACAAUCCAUGGGUACCACAAGCAAGCAGAAGCUGGAAGGUAGAGAAAUAAAGGUUAGGGAAGCCAGUUAAUAGCAAAAGAAGCAUGAACAAUGGUAAGGAGAUUUAAAAAUACUGAUGCCCGGGCCACUUAAAUCACAAUAUCUCACCUGGUUUAUUUUUAAAGUUCCUCAGGUGAUUCUAAUGUUUAACUCUGAUAGAGAACCACUGAGUUAGAAAGAACAGCAAAUUCAGAGUGGCUGGGUGAUGUCAGUGAUGUAGCACAAGAGUAAUGAACCAAAAAUACCUGCUGUUAAGGUGCCCAGAGCUGCUAGAAUCCAAUUCCCGUACUCAAUACUGUUCCCACAUAUCAAUUCCCAUUAAAGCCCCAUCUUCCACAUUGUUCAACGUGUUUACAUACAAUAAACCCCUAUUAAUGAGGUAGGCUGAUUAACUUCUUUUCUUGAGACCAAAAGAGCCAACUUCAUAUAGAAAUUUCUAUCAGAAAUAUAGUUGCAUGAAAAAAACGCCCAGCAGAAAUGUAAAACACUUGGAAUUGAUAGGGUAUGACUAUAGAAUAAAAAAAUCAUACACAAUCUACCCCAUGUACCAGAGCGAAAUCUUUUUCAGAAGCCCAGUUUAUGUUGUAGCAAAGCCACUAAUUAUACAGCUGCCUUUGUGAUUCAUACCUGCACCCACUUAGGGUUAAGCACUGAGGCAAAUGGUAGUGACUGAUUACAGCAACUACAAAGAAAUAAGCCAAGCGGGGUUCAACAGUUGUUUCUCUUCUGACGAUGACAUGCAAAUUCUGAUAUAAUCACAAGGUAUCGACCCUGGAAAGCAUGACUUUGUCUCUGUUACAGCUAGAUAUGGUGCUGUUACCAUUCCAACAGGCAUGGAAUAACAUGGAUUAGACCAUAGGUUCCCAAGUUUGAGAACCAUUGGGCUAAAUGUGUCAGUUCAGGUUCCUACAAAUACAUAUUCACUCCCCUCUGAAGACCACCAUUCUAUCUAUUGUCACAGCUGUAGCACAGCCCUUAAUGACCAGCUUUUGUUUUACAUUAUCUAUUAUUACAUCCUCUCCACUGAGCACAGUUGAUGGGACAUACAUUGCCAGGAGCCUAUGACAUGUCUCAGCAUGAAAAAGCACUGCACAGAUAAACUAGGCCAAUUAAGAUUCUCAUUCUUUGGAAUUUGAGUAGAAACAAUGAAAACUAGGUCAUUAGCAGUGAAUGCUGAAGCUGAAAGCCUCGUCAAAGUAGGGCUUAGUGGCAAAUCCAGUCAUGAGGAAGAAAAAAUGAAGAUGGAAGAAUAGCUGAUCAAAUAGCUGGUCUCAUUCAAGUCAACAGAAAAGGUCUACAAAUCCCAAGUGAUUAAGAUUCCUAUGAAAUCCCUAUCUUCUUUACUCUGUCUUACUAUAUGAACCUAUAUGAUAAAUAUCCAUUUCUUUAGCUAACCCUGUGUCUUAUUUCUUGAAACCAGAAAUCCUAUGUAAUCAGAAAAUAGUGUAGAGUUGGGUUACAUAAACAGAACUUUGGUAGGACAUGGAAUAUUUAAACCUGUUUAUUACUUGGUGGUGGGACAGUAACAGACACACCCCACCACAACCCAGGCUAGAAUGUUAAGGGUCUACAGGAACUGUGGCAAAGUUACUAUUGCAAGACUACACAUCUCAUGAAGGUAAGUUUUGGUACAAUCACAACAGAGGAAAUUCAGUCACCAAGGAAGAUCAAAGAUAGGUGGAUGCUUCCAAAUUUGGCAGGCAAAUUUCUAAAGUGGCCUCAUGACAUCACUUCAGACUACAGUAUCUGGCUGUGACCUGGUUACUCUCUAACAUUUCUGCUUAAGAGCUGCUGGAAAAGUAUAAACAGAAGCAUCUUUAGAAAUGAAAAAAAUGAGAUGAAAGGUAUAUGUGCUCUGUGGUCAAGAUGUGGAAAUGCAAUACAAACACAUGUGAAUCAAGUGGUGGCUACACUCAAGUCCCAUCUAAGUUCAACUGUCCCACUCAGUUCUCGAGACAGGCAGUCCUAGUCCUAGAGUAAUGAAUUUUAGAAUAUGACCUGUCCUGUCAUCCCAAGCAGAAUGUACCAGAUAUGAGACACAGUACCCAAGUGUUAUGCCACUGUAAGACUCAAAAACUGACUACUCAAGCAAAGGUAAGCGAAGCCACUUAAACCCUUGCAUUGAAAAAUAAAGUUUGUGAAAUGCAGAAAGAGUGAGGCCCAUAGCAGAGGAAACAAUAUUCAAUAACAGUGCUGGGAAACAUGAGAUACAGCCAAAGACACUAGAGUAGUAAGCAAGGCUUAGUAAUGAAUAACUGAAAACUUAUGAGGAAGCAUAAUACAACAAAGCUAGGGAGUAAGCUAAAGCUUGAGUAUAUAAUGAGGAGGAAGGCAUGAAGGCAGAGAAAAAGAGGAAUUAAGCAUAAGGAUCACAGUUAAUAACACUGUAGUAAUACUGAAAAUUCAUUCAGAGUAGAUUUCAGGUACUCUCAAUCACGAAAGAAAAAUACGGUAACUAU
Molecule: long non-coding RNA, 3176 nt
Filed under: Sus scrofa (pig)
Lineage: Eukaryota; Metazoa; Chordata; Mammalia; Artiodactyla; Suidae
Description: lncRNA (ENSSSCG00065027893.1, ENSSSCG00175041023.1)
Source: RNAcentral